UGUGGGUGAACAUACUACCUGGAUGUCCAACAAAGGCUGCACCAGAGCUCAUUUGAUAGCACAUAUUCUGUCCUGUCUACAUCUCUGAUGACCUGGAAGUGCUUCGACAUCAGAUCAUCAUCAUGCUGCUGCCCUUUUUCACUGUCCCUUUCCACAUCAUUUGGCCUUCAUCAUUUCCUGUCUUGUAGCAGUAUUUUCACCUGUUUUUAAAAUUGUAAUAAUUUUUGAUGCAUUAAUUGUUGACUGGCUUUAAUGAUCAAUUGUUUAUUAGUGUUCUGUUGCUCUGUUAUAUUGAAUUAUUGCUACUGUUUUAGCAUGGUUUACACAAUAAACCUUUAUUGUGAAGUUAAA
RNAcentral lists this long non-coding RNA (351 nucleotides) under Danio rerio (zebrafish). Its description in RNAcentral is "lncRNA si:ch211-250o16.4 (ENSDARG00000099832.2)". Lineage: Eukaryota; Metazoa; Chordata; Actinopteri; Cypriniformes; Danionidae. The record is from RNAcentral.